AUUACGUUUACCCCACGCUGCCUAAAAAGAAGUGAAAAAAACGAGUAACAAAAUUUUAGCAAAAAAAUCGGUUCCGUAAAUCACGAUAUGCGCGUACCUAACUGGGGGAAACCUGUUGGAUGUAACUGUUGGAUGUCCUUCUAACAAGGUAAAUAGAAGAUAAGUAAAACAAGUAUCCUUACAAGUUAUAAAGGUACUUCAAGUCGUAUUAGAGCUUUCUCAUAAAAAGACCAAACAAUUAAUUUCUACUCUUCGGAAAGGAAUAGGGAGUAAGACUGUUGUAGAAACUAACAUUUUUGGCAAGUUAAAUGUUCUUUCGGAAUCCGUAUCACAUUUUUAUCAUGUAGAAAAGAUAGAUUUCCUUGACAAUGAAUUGGGAAUUGUUGAAAAAGGAUCUUGUGUAUGUUCAAGAGUCAUCAUCUUUCACAAUGGAUUUGAUUAACCGUGGUUUAGACGUUCAUUCUGCAUUUGUACGAAUUUCUAUGGAUAGUGAAGGAUCCUUUUUGAAAAUUAUAAUCAAUGUUUUUGAUGUAAAUGAAAAAAAAGGUCUUCUGUAAUGUACAUGAAUAGUGGACUUUGUUCAAUAAAAUAAUAAUCUAAAUAAUAAAUCUAAAAAAUCUAACAUGCAACAAUAUAUGAAUGUGAUACAUCCGAGGAUUCUCUAUCUAGAGAAGUGCCUAGAUACUCUAAUUCCGCAUUUGGUACCACCUCCUGAAUUACAUUUUUUGAUUGGAGUUGUAUCUACUUUAGGGUGUCUACUUAUGGAUAUUUGGCCUGAAUUUGAUGACUGACUGAAAACUAAAAGUGUUUAUCAGAGAGGGUAUCAAGGUAGAGGUUGGGACGGAAAUAAUUCUAACAAGAUCCUGGAUGAACUUGAUAAAGUAGUAGCAUCUCAGGUUCCUCAACUGAGACCUAUAAUUCAGUGUUUGAAAGACUUUAAAAUAGUAAAAGAUUCCUAUUUUGGUCAAAUUCUUUUGACAGAGUAUAAAAUGGCAUUUACUGUUUUUAAAAAUUCUUUCCUUUCUACCCAAGAGCUUGCACAGGCUUUAGGGACAAAAUGUUUUUAAAGCUGGACGUUUCACAUCUUGCUGUGUCAUGUUUAACCCUUUGUCGAACACCAUAACUGUGGUCUAGCUAAGUUUGCUGAACAGUGUUGAGAGGCUAUCCAUUCUAAAUUUAAACCUACCUGGAGUAGUUAUAAACGUGCAGAAGACCAUGCUUAACAUGGAGAACAGCUGUUAUCCUCUGUAAUAAAUUUCAAUGAAAGAAGACUUUAAUUUAUCUUUAACUUUGACAUGUUGCUUUCUAAAGUGCAGGAAAAUGAAUUAAUGUAUAUUUGGAUUGUGUAACAAAUAUAAAUUAAUAUUGUAAA
Molecule: long non-coding RNA, 1372 nt
Organism: Hydra vulgaris (swiftwater hydra)
Lineage: Eukaryota; Metazoa; Cnidaria; Hydrozoa; Anthoathecata; Hydridae
Source: RefSeq, a predicted model, not a curated record